Molecule: non-coding RNA, 236 nt
Organism: Ilex paraguariensis (yerba mate)
Lineage: Eukaryota; Viridiplantae; Streptophyta; Magnoliopsida; Aquifoliales; Aquifoliaceae
Source: the annotation of a GenBank genome assembly
CCGACCUUAGCUCAGUUGGUAGAGCGAAGGACUGUAGUAGGCNCCCUGAUCACUCCCCCUUUGUUGUUUGUGGUUUGUGUACGCCUCUUGUUGUCCAGCUGUUCUUUCCUUGACUCCCAUGAUUUUCCAUAGGAGUGGAGCUCGGGACUUGGGCUUCGGAGCUCUGAGCUCAUUAUCCGACCUAGUCUCCCANCACAAUUAAUUCUUAGGUCACUGAUUCGAUCCGGCAAGUCGGA